AGUAACACGUGGAUAACCUACCUAUAAGACUGGGAUAACUUCGGGAAACCGGAGCUAAUACCGGAUAAUAUUAUGAACCGCAUGGUUCAAAAGUGAAAGACGGUCUUGCUGUCACUUAUAGAUGGAUCCGCGCUGCAUUAGCUAGUUGGUAAGGUAACGGCUUACCAAGGCAACGAUGCAUAGCCGACCUGAGAGGGUGAUCGACCACACUGGAACUGAGACACGGUCCAG
Molecule: ribosomal RNA, 231 nt
Filed under: uncultured Staphylococcus sp.
Lineage: Bacteria; Bacillati; Bacillota; Bacilli; Caryophanales; Staphylococcaceae
Description: partial 16S ribosomal RNA
Rfam family: Bacterial small subunit ribosomal RNA
Source: RNAcentral